CCUACGGGAGGCAGCAGUGGGGAAUAUUGCACAAUGGGCGAAAGCCUGAUGCAGCAACGCCGCGUGAGCGAUGAAAGCCUUCGGGUCUUAAAGCUCUGUCCUCAAGGAAGAUAAUGACGGUACUUGAGGAAGAAGCCCCGGCUAACUACGUGCCAGCAGCCGCGGUAAUACGUAGGGGGAUAGCGUUAUCCGGAAUUACUGGGCGUAAAGGGUGCGUAGGUGGUUUCUUAAGUCAGAGGUGAAAGGCUACGGCUCAACCGUAGUAAGCGUGUGAAACUGGGAAACUUGAGUGCAGGAGAGGAGAGUGGAAUUCCUAGUGUAGCGGUGAAAUGCGUAGAUAUUAGGAGGAACACCAGUUGCGAAGGCGGCUCUCUGGACUGUAACUGACACUGAGGCACGAAAGCGUGGGGAGCAAACAGGAUUAGAUACCCGGGUAGUC
This 439-nucleotide ribosomal RNA is filed under the name uncultured bacterium. RNAcentral's name for it is "partial 16S ribosomal RNA". It matches the Rfam family "Bacterial small subunit ribosomal RNA", at positions 338 to 795 of the family's 1533-position model. The record is from RNAcentral.